This 576-nucleotide ribosomal RNA is filed under the name uncultured Aquicella sp. Its description in RNAcentral is "bacterial SSU rRNA". It matches the Rfam family "Bacterial small subunit ribosomal RNA", at positions 102 to 681 of the family's 1533-position model. Lineage: Bacteria; Pseudomonadati; Pseudomonadota; Gammaproteobacteria; Legionellales; Coxiellaceae. The record is from RNAcentral.
ACGGGUGAGGAACACGUAGGAAUCUACCCUCGAGCGGGGGAUAACUAAGGGAAACUUUAGCUAAUACCGCAUAAACUCGAGAGAGCAAAGCUGCAGCAAUGUGGCACUCGAGGAGGAGCCUGCGUCCGAUUAGCUAGUUGGUGAGGUAAUAGCUCACCAAGGCAAUGAUCGGUAACUGGUCUGAGAGGACGACCAGUCACACUGGGACUGAGACACGGCCCAGACUCCUACGGGAGGCAGCAGUGGGGAAUAUUGGACAAUGGGGGCAACCCUGAUCCAGCGAUGCCGCGUGAGUGAAGAAGGCCUUCGGGUCGUAAAGCUCUUUAGGUUGGGAAGAAGGUUGUAGGAGGAAAUGCUUACAACUUGACGGUACCGACAGAAUAAGCACCGGCAAACUCUGUGCCAGCAGCCGCGGUAAUACAGAGGGUGCGAGCGUUAAUCGGAUUUACUGGGCGUAAAGGGCGCGUAGGCGGUUUAGUGAGUGUGAUGUGAAAGCCCUGGGCUUAACCUGGGAAGUGCAUCACAAACGACUGAACUGGAGUAUAUGAGAGGGUGGCGGAAUUUCCGGUGUAGCGG